Molecule: ribosomal RNA, 433 nt
Filed under: uncultured bacterium
Lineage: Bacteria
Description: partial 16S ribosomal RNA
Rfam family: Bacterial small subunit ribosomal RNA
Source: RNAcentral
AACGAACGCUGGCGGCAUGCCUAACACAUGCCAGUCGAACGAGACCUUCGGGUCUAGUGGCGCACGGGUGCGUAACGCGUGGGAACCUGCCCUUAGGUUCGGAAUAACUCCCCGAAAGGGGUGCUAAUACCGGAUAAUGUCUUCGGACCAAAGAUUUAUCGCCUUUGGAUGGGCCCGCGUUGGAUUAGCUAGUUGGUAGGGUAAAAGCCUACCAAGGCGACGAUCCAUAGCUGGUCUGAGAGGAUGAUCAGCCACACUGGGACUGAGACACGGCCCAGACUCCUACGGGAGGCAGCAGUGGGGAAUAUUGGACAAGGGGCGAAAGCCUGAUCCAGCAAUGCCGGGUGAGUGAUGAAGGCCUUAGGGUUGUAAAGCUCUUUUACCCGGGAUGAUAAUGACAGUACCGGGAGAAUAAGCUCCGGCUAACUACGUG